RNAcentral lists this unclassified non-coding RNA (394 nucleotides) under Hevea brasiliensis (rubber tree). Lineage: Eukaryota; Viridiplantae; Streptophyta; Magnoliopsida; Malpighiales; Euphorbiaceae. The record is from RNAcentral.
GAUCCACUUGCACAAUCCUGUUGAUGGCAAGUACACAUCAGCAAUAUGAAAAAUGAUCUAUAUAACAUUUGCACUUUCCUACUUAUUCUAUGUUAUCAAUAGUAGCAUGAAAAUAAAUACUAAACAAGGAAAUUUUCAAACCUAUGAUAAGAAAUUUACUAUCCUAAAUUAUUCAUUCAUAGAGGAACUUGCAGUAAAUAGCUAUCGACAAGCAAGCAAUGAAAUCAUGCAAGUCUUAAAUUCAAGCAAUGUCAGCCACAUGAAAAAUAAUUGUCCCUUUUAAUCUCUAAAAAGAAAGAAAAAGGUAUGCACUGUGAACUAAACAUAUUGCACGCUAUAUUCACCCUUCUCCAUUUUUCAGUUCAGGCAGUACCUUCUGUAUGUGUCUGAGUGU